Molecule: small RNA, 27 nt
Filed under: Bombyx mori (domestic silkworm)
Lineage: Eukaryota; Metazoa; Arthropoda; Insecta; Lepidoptera; Bombycidae
Description: ovarian small RNA-22091
Source: RNAcentral
UAGAUAUGGGCCUAAAGUGAUUUGGAA